AUGCGUGAACAGGAGGAAGCCAGAGGAAAACCUGGUGGAGGUCCUUAGUGGUCCUGAUGUGAAAAUCGGUUGUCUGACUUGGGUUU
RNAcentral lists this non-coding RNA (86 nucleotides) under Equus caballus (horse). RNAcentral's name for it is "Eukaryotic large subunit ribosomal RNA". It matches the Rfam family "Eukaryotic large subunit ribosomal RNA", at positions 833 to 918 of the family's 3401-position model. The record is from Rfam by way of RNAcentral. Lineage: Eukaryota; Metazoa; Chordata; Mammalia; Perissodactyla; Equidae.